This 600-nucleotide ribosomal RNA is filed under the name uncultured bacterium. RNAcentral describes it as "bacterial SSU rRNA". It matches the Rfam family "Bacterial small subunit ribosomal RNA", at positions 263 to 863 of the family's 1533-position model. The record is from RNAcentral.
GCCCACCAAGGCAACGAUCAGUAGGGGUUCUGAGAGGAAGGUCCCCCACAUUGGAACUGAGACACGGUCCAAACUCCUACGGGAGGCAGCAGUGAGGAAUAUUGGUCAAUGGGCGGAAGCCUGAACCAGCCAAGUAGCGUGCAGGAUGACGGCCCUAUGGGUUGUAAACUGCUUUUAUACAGGAAUAAAGUUAGCCACGUGUGGUUAUUUGUAGGUACUGUAUGAAUAAGGACCGGCUAAUUCCGUGCCAGCAGCCGCGGUAAUACGGAAGGUCCAGGCGUUAUCCGGAUUUAUUGGGUUUAAAGGGAGCGUAGGCCGUCUGUUAAGCGUGUUGUGAAAUGUAGAUGCUCAACAUCUGAAUUGCAGCGCGAACUGGCAGACUUGAGUGUGCGCAACGUAGGCGGAAUUCGUGGUGUAGCGGUGAAAUGCUUAGAUAUCACGAAGAACUCCGAUUGCGAAGGCAGCUUACGGGAGCACAACUGACGCUGAAGCUCGAAACGUCGGGUAUCGAACAGGAUUAGAUACCCUGGUAGUCCGCACGGUAAACGAUGGAUGCUCGCUGUUGGCCCACCUGGGCCAGCGGCCAAGCGAAAGCAUUAA